AGUGAACGCUGGCGGUAGGCCUAACACAUGCAAGUCGAACGGCAGCACAGUAAGAGCUUGCUCUUACGGGUGGCGAGUGGCGGACGGGUGAGGAAUACAUCGGAAUCUACUUUUUCGUGGGGGAUAACGUAGGUAAACUUACGCUAAUACCGCAUACGACCUACGGGUGAAAGCAGGGGAUCUUCGGACCUUGCGCGAUUGAAUGAGCCGAUGUCGGAUUAGCUAGUUGGCGGGGUAAAGGCCCACCAAGGCGACGAUCCGUAGCUGGUCUGAGAGGAUGAUCAGCCACACUGGAACUGGGACACGGUCCAGACUCCUACGGGAGGCAGCAGUGGGGAAUAUUGGACAAUGGGCGCAAGCCUGAUCCAGCCAUACCGCGUGGGUGAAGAAGGCCUUCGGGUUGUAAAGCCCUUUUGUUGGGAAAGAAAAGCAGCAGGUUAAUACCCCGCUGUUCUGACGGUACCCAAAGAAUAAGCACCGGCUAACUUCGUG
Molecule: ribosomal RNA, 492 nt
Filed under: uncultured bacterium
Lineage: Bacteria
Description: partial 16S ribosomal RNA
Rfam family: Bacterial small subunit ribosomal RNA
Source: RNAcentral